Molecule: ribosomal RNA, 253 nt
Filed under: uncultured bacterium
Lineage: Bacteria
Description: partial 16S ribosomal RNA
Rfam family: Archaeal small subunit ribosomal RNA
Source: RNAcentral
UACCAGCACCCCGAGUGGUCGGGACGUUUAUUGGGCCUAAAGCAUCCGUAGCCGGUUCUACAAGUCUUCCGUUAAAUCCAACUGCUUAACAGGUGGGCUGCGGAAGAUACUAUAGAGCUAGGAGGCGGGAGAGGCAAGCGGUACUCGAUGGGUAGGGGUAAAAUCCGUUGAUCCAUUGAAGACCACCAGUGGCGAAGGCGGCUUGCCAGAACGCGCUCGACGGUAAGGGAUGAAAGCUGGGGGAGCAAACCGG